This 446-nucleotide ribosomal RNA is filed under the name uncultured bacterium. Its description in RNAcentral is "bacterial SSU rRNA". It matches the Rfam family "Bacterial small subunit ribosomal RNA", at positions 354 to 796 of the family's 1533-position model. The record is from RNAcentral.
GUAAGGAAUAUUGGACAAUGGCCGCAAGGCUGAUCCAGCCAUCCAGCGUGCAGGAAGAAGGCCCUAUGGGUUGUAAACUGCUUUUAUCAGGGAAGAAGCCUCUGGAUUUACUCCGGAACUGACGGUACCUGAAGAAUAAGCACCGGCUAACUCCGUGCCAGCAGCCGCGGUAAUACGGAGGGUGCGAGCGUUAUCCGGAAUUACUGGGUUUAAAGGGUGCGUAGGCGGCUUUGUAAGUCAGGAGUGAAAGUUUGCGGCUCAACCGUAAAAUUGCUUUUGAUACUGCGAGGCUAGAAUUAGGAUGAGGUCAGCGGAAUGUGGCAUGUAGCGGUGAAAUGCAUAGAUAUGCCAUAGAACACCAAUUGCGAAGGCAGCUGGCUAGACCUGGAUUGACGCUGAGGCACGAAAGCGUGGGGAGCGAACAGGAUUAGAUACCCCGGUAGUCC